UACAUAGGGGGCAAGCGUUAUCCGGAAUUAUUGGGCGUAAAGGGUGCGUAGGCGGCUGAUUAAGUCUGGUGUGAAAUUUCACGGCUUAACCGUGAAGGGUCAUUGGAAACUGAUUGGCUUGAAUACAGAAGAGGUAAGUGGAAUUCCAUGUGUAGCGGUAAAAUGCUUAGAUAUAUGGAGGAACACCAGUGGCGAAGGCGGCUUACUGGUCUGUCAUUGACGCUGAUGCACGAAAGCGUGGGUAGCAAACAGG
This 253-nucleotide ribosomal RNA is filed under the name uncultured bacterium. RNAcentral's name for it is "partial 16S ribosomal RNA". It matches the Rfam family "Bacterial small subunit ribosomal RNA", at positions 524 to 776 of the family's 1533-position model. The record is from RNAcentral.